CCAAAGCUUCUAUUUCUUGACGAGCCAACAAGCGGACUUGAUAGUGCUGCUUCAUACUAUGUAAUGAGCAGGAUUGCUAAGCUUGAUCAAAGAGAUCAUGGAGUGGGAUCAAGAACAAUAAUAACAUCAAUCCAUCAACCUAGCAGCGAAGUUUUUCAGCUUUUUCACAACCUUUGCCUUCUUUCUUCCGGUCAAACUGUCUAUUUUGGUCCAGCUUCUGCGGCAAAUGAGGCAAGUUCAUUUCCCUAAAAUGUUCAGAACCCAUCAAAACCUCGGUGCUGCCAAAAAGAAAAAAAGAAAUAAAUAACUUUCACCUUUUUAAUCUUUAACUACUAUACCCAUAGAAAUUUUGAUUAAUCCAUAGUAAAAUGAAAAGUGGAUCAAUUUUUUUAACCAACAUAAGGUUUUGAUAGUUUUUGAAACAUGAUUAGAGAAAUGAUUGGCUUAAUUACUAACAUCAUUUUCCCAAAUAAAAAUUUAACUAACGUGCUUGUUUGCUUUCAAUUACAUGCAGUUUUUUGCUUUGAAUGGCUUCCCUUGCCCAACCCUCCAGAAUCCAUCUGAUCACUUUCUUAAAACUAUAAACAAAGAUUUCCAGGAGGUAAGAUUUUUUUCUUUAUUGUAUACUUGCUUGCAUGCUUUUAGUGAUGAAAUGACGGCGUAUUGAGCGUACGAAAAUAGUAUUAUUGUAUACUUGCUUGCAUGCUUGAAUUAUUGAAUUCAACACAAACCUUACAAAAAGAAAUAAAGUUAAUAAAAGAUCUUAUAGGUUUUUGUUAUCAACAGGAUAUCGAAAAAGGUUUAGCUGGAGUAGUACCGACCCAGGAAGCAAUUGAUAUUCUUACAAAAUCUUAUAAAUCCUCUGACAGCUAUCUGCAAGUGCGAAGCCAGGUGGCUGAAAUAUGCAAGGCACAGGUGAGCAGACAAACAAAAUUAUUCGAUUACUUUCACACCUUAUGACUUAUGAGGACUUAAAAAAAAAAAAAGAAGUAAUAGUGUGAGCACCACCAAACAAAGAGGCUGAAACCCACGCCACCGUGCCCCUGGGGCUACAUUGCUUAUGACCAUCUUAAUGAAAAAAAAAACUACAUAAAUAAAGAUUGACAUGAUCACAUCAAUUCACAUGCGUUACAGGAUUCUGGAGCUCUGGAGAAAAAGAGUACCCAUGCUGACUUUCUCACUCAAUGCAUAGUUCUCACAAGCAGAUCUUUUGUGAACAUGUAUCGUGAUCUAGGUUACUACUGGUUUCGCCUAGGUGUUUAUGUCUUACUGGGAGUAGGUCUUGCCACUGUAUUUAGCAAUCUUGGGACUGACAAUAAUUCAAUUCAGGUGAGAAUAAAAUCUAUUUUUAUUAAUCACUGUGAAUUACCAGAGAUUCAUUAUUUUGUUCUGUUUAAUUAAUUAAUUUCAGGCAAGAGGUUCGCUGCUCAUGUUUGUAGCUUCAUUUCUAACCUUCAUGACCAUUGGUGGAUUCCCUUCUUUUGUUGAGGACAUGAAGGUACGUAAGCAUACCCAUACUAGAAUUUUGUAUAUCAUUUUUUGUUAAAAGCACUUAAUUUUUCUCUUACUUUUCAUCUGACACUAAAUUUGCGUGUGUGUGUAUGUAUAUGUGUGUGUGUGUGUUUGUGUGUGUGUAUAAAGGUAUUUGAGCGAGAGAGACUAAACGGGCACUAUGGUGCUACUGCGUUUGUGUUUGGCAACACGUUUUCUGCGCUGCCAUACUUAGCUCUCAUUUCAUUGAUUCCUGGAGCGAUAGUGUAUGACCUUCCGGGACUUCACAAAGGAUAUCAACACUUCACAUACUUUGUUUUGUUAUUGUUUGCUUGCAUGUUGCUCGUUGAGAGCCUAAUGAUGAUCGUUGCAAGCUUGGUGCCCAACUAUCUGACGGGCAUAAUAACAGGAGCUGGAAUUCAAGGCCUUAUGAUAUUAGGCGGCGGAUUUUUUCGAUUGCCAAAUGAUCUUCCUCAUCCAUUUUGGAAAUACCCAUUAUAUUAUAUUGCUUUCCACAAAUAUGCGUAUCAAGGAAUGUUCAAGAACGAGUUUGAAGGUCUGAAAUUUGACAACAAUCUAGAUGGUGAGCAGGUUUUGAGAGAUAAUUGGCAACUGCAAAUGGGAUAUUCUAAGUGGGUUGAUCUUGCUAUCUUGUUUGGUAUGGUGGUUUUUUAUCGACUUGUAUUCUUGGGAAUCGUCAAGACAGUUGAAAAGAUGAAGCCUGUGGUUAAAGCUUUUAUGUCUGUGCCCAUGAAACGAACAACUCAAAUCAUGGAAAAUCCGUAUACUACACCUCCACAAGAAGACAAAAUACUUUACAAGUGAUCGUGAACAAAAGACUUCGGAUAUUCGUUAGUUCAGCUAGUAAAAUCGCUUGAAGUAGGUGAAAAAACUAUGUUCUCAUGAGUGGAAGAGGAAUGAUGUAAUUAGAAAGAAUAUUUUAGCUUUGAAACAUCCUUUAACUACUUUUAUUUUUGUAUGAUCAAGAUUUGCUUCUUUAUUAUCUUUAGUUUUUAUUUGUUGACUACAAUUAUAAAGUUUCUAUAAGCUUAUAGAUAUGAGAUUAUAAUCCUGCUUGAGAUUGCGGUUGAAAUGUUAUCAGCAACUUGUUUAAUAAGUUUUGACAAAAACGAUAUUUGGUAUAUUUUUUAAAAGUUUUUUAUUUUAAAAAUUUCUCUAUUUUGACUACAAUUUUUAAAGACAAGUAGAGGGUUACUUUUUAUAAACAAUUUAUUAAAUAAGCCAUCACACAUUUUUAAAGUUCGUCUUAUAAUCUUAAUCUUUUAACAAAAUGGUAAUUAUAUCUUAUUUUUCAUAAAACCUGAUAUACAAAUAAAAGACUAUUUAAAGCUAUGUCUAUUUUGGUUAUUAUACAAUAAAUAUGUAUUUUUGUAAUAAAAUUUACCAAACUCAUCUAUAUACUCUAUUUUUCAAACUCACACAAAUUGCAACAACAUAAUUUAUCAAAUACUAAGUUGGUUUUUUAAUCAGCAACUGACAUCAUGUACACAGUAGAAGCAACCAAUUUCAUCAGCUAUUGCAAUCCUAAACUAGACCUUUAUCAGUAAGAAAGAGAAAUGAUAUAGAGUUCGAAUGAUGACUAAAAGGCAAUGGAAAUGGCUAACAUAAGGUGCCAUUUUUGUCUUACUUUCUUUUGAUUUUUUUUAUCAUUAAAAAAAUGUUAAUUAUGUACGUAUGUAUAUGUAAAAAAGAUGGUGUUGAAACAUUAAAAAUAGAUUAAUAGAAGAAACAAAGUUUCUGAAUAACAAUAGUUUUAUUAGCAAAGUCUGAAUGAACGAAACUAUGGUCUUGGGUCCCUUUAUAUAAUAAAUCUAAGUAUUGCAAAUUUAUCAAAAUAUGCAAAUUUAAAAUAUUACUUUAUAAUAAAUUUGUCCUAUUAUAAAUAAGGAAAUUAAAACAAAUAGAAUCCAAACUCGAUAUCUAAAAAAAAGAUAAAAAUUUUGAAAAUAAAAAGAAUAAUAGGAAAAUAUCUUAGAAGUGAAAAACGAUUAGAAAAGAAGCGGAAUUUUUGGCUUGACCAUGUGUCAUGCACUGCUUGUGCAAAGAGAAACAUGUGGCUUAUUGAGUAGAAAACAACCAGCUGCUUGCUUCGUAAUUUGACAUGCUUGCUUCAGCUGCAUGCUUUUUCACCUACUUGCUUGGAUUAGGUGGGCCGAUGGCUAUAUAUGUGAAGAAUAUUGUGAGUUGCUUCAUUCUAUCAAAUUAGAAAUUGAGAGCAAAAACAAAUAGAAGAAAAGAAACGAAAAGAAGAAAAGAAAGAAGCCAAGAGUGGGGAAAAGAGAAAAAGAAAGGAAAAGGAGAAAAAGAAAAUUAAGAAGUUGAGAGUGAAAAAGAAUUUGGAAAGGUGGAAUUGAGGGAAAUAUUACUGGAAAUAGAAUUAGACAGUUAGAUUUAUAUUAAGUGAGUCAGUGGAUAAUAAAUUUAUAAAAUUUAAGUAGACAUAAUUUAAUUUGCAUAAUAUGUAUAAGUUUUUAUAUCAGUUCUAACAGUUAAUUUUCGAAUCUUGUAUUUUAGGAAAAAUCCAAAAGUCGAGGAACCUACAAGAGCCCCAACGAACCCCGGAAUGAAACAAGAUCUGUGAGUGAAUACUAUUAUUGUUAUAAUGUAUCUGUGAAGCAUUUAUGUUUGAUAGUAUGAUUUAAUAUCAUGUUAUGAUUACAUGUAUGUAUAUUAUAUAUUUGAUUGAGUCAUGAGAUGUGAUUGUCAGUCACUAUAUGUGUACCCUUCCCUAUAGACUCUACGCAUGCGUAUUGAGAGUUAGGUUACUUUACCUGUGCAUUGUAGUUAAAUGUUGCCGGGUAUUGAGAGGUUUUUCCUCUACUCUACUCAUGUGAUGAUGAUCUCGGCAAGUAUUCAGAGUUAUUUCCCCUGGGUACUAUUUGGUACAGUUUUUUUCAUGUAUGUAUGAUUUCCAUGUUUGCUAAUGCAUUACAUUUAGUGCCGAGUUAUGUCACAUGAUUAUGUAUAUACGCUCGUAAGCUACUUUAUAUGUGUGUGUGUGUUCCAGUCCAAAACUUUAAAGUGUGAGAACAUCCGUGAAAAUGCAUAAACCGUGCGGUUUAAGCGCUUUAAGUUUUAAGCAUUUAAAACCCCAUGGUUUUAAAAUUUUUCGGGACGUUUUCCAUACUUUAUAAUCAUGGAUAUAUAAAAAUUAUAUCCAUUUAUUGAGCCACAAGCUCAUUACUUUUGUAUUAAUCCAUUCUCUUCUAUGAUUCCUCAAGAUUUCAUGUAGAUAAGUUCUAGUCAAUUGAGGUUGGGCCAUGAGAUGUAUUGCUACAUGACUUUGAGCACGUUUAUGUUGCUUAUGUUCUUAUAUAUAUAUUUGUAGUGUAAGUACGUAUAAUGAAACAUGAUUGUGCAAGUUUUGAAUAUAUAUUUUUGGAUGAGGCACAUAGGUUGUUAUGUGUUUAUAAUAGAGGUCGUUUUUAUAUAUUCAUAAAUUAAGUUAGUGCCACGAGUUUUAAUUAUUAGACCGCAUGAUUCGCCUCAGAUCCAACACACGGGAUACAGCAGGUCGUGUCCCCACGAGGCAAAACAGCUCAAAUGGCUCUGGAUUUGUUUCGUCUCAUCGCAAGCUUUGAAACAUGCGCUAAAAAUGGACACCUGUAGCACAAGUUAUGAUUUUAGGAAGGUACCAUGUUCUUUCCAUGCAACCAUCCUGCAUUAAAAACUUUUCCUAUGAGGGUUUGCUGUUGCACUAUAUAGUAGGGGUAAUAGUAUAAUGUUACACUAUUGCACUAUAGUGUGUGUGUGUGUGUGUGUGUGUGUGUGAUUAGUAUUAAAAAUUGUUUGAUUAUCAAGUGAUAAAAAUAUUAUUUUGUGGUUAUAUUAUAAUUUAUAUUUGUGUUUAUGCAAUAUAUUAGGAAUUAUUAAUUUUGUCUUAACUAUAUUUAAUUUUGUGUAUUUUUGUGUGUUUAUUAGGUAAAAUAUUAAAUUCGUGUAAUUCGAGGCUCCAAACAGAUAAAUGGAUGGUAAAUUUAGAUUUUGGAGGUCUGAAAACCUUAAGAUGAGUCAAAACCGACUUAAAAUUGAGCUUGCGCAAAAGAGUUGACUUUUUGUUGACCGAGCACUGAUUGGAUGAUAAAAUGAACUUACAAUAGAUAUGAGUGCAUUGGAUAGCUGGUAAUUUUGACUAAAUCUCAAUCGUUCAUAAUUCAAUGGCCAAGAUUGUGCCACAUAACAAUGGUUGGUGAAGCAAGUUGUAGGAUUUGAAUCUUUGUAUUCGGGUCGACCCGAUCCGCCCAUUAACCCGCCAAAUCUCAACCAUUCUUUGGUCGAAUCGGACGCGUCAAAUGAUGCCACGUGUAAUGUUGACUUUUGAAGUUUGACCAGCCGUUGGAUCAUGAUCUAAUGGCUGUAAGGAGCGCAUGCAUAAAGCUUAUGAUGGGCCGCAAAACACUAGAUUAUGAAUUUAUUUUUCUAUAAAUAGAGCCUCAUUUUUAUGUUUUUGAUCAUCUCUCUACAUUUUUCUUCUUCUCAAUUUCUCUCAAUCUCCCUAUAAUCUUGUUUUCCAGGUGUGUUUUUAAUAUUUUAAAUAAUAAUUUUAUAAAUAAAUUUAGUUUUGUUUUCAAUUUUAGUUGUUUUUAUUACUUUUAAUAAUUUUUUUUAUUUCGAUUAUGCUUAACUAAAUAACAAUAGUUAGGGUAAGGUGAAACUCUUAGAAAAUAAAUAUGAUUUAAUCAAAUGCUAUUUUUAAUUUUAUGAAUUAAAUUAUUUUCUAUUUAAUUUUAUACAUAUUUUAUAUUUUAAAAUUUUGAUUAUAGACAAAUAAGGGAGUUUGGCACAAUAAAUUCUAAAUAUCUUAAUAUAAGGUAUGGUAAAAUGGUAUUUUGACUUAUUGUAGACAAAUUAAAUUUUGGCACAAUAAAUAUUUAAUCCAUAAUAAAAUUAAUGGGAAAAUAAUAAUAAUUUAUAUAAUCAAUCUUUUGGGCAAUAAAUCUAAAAAAAAUGGCAAAAACAAUUUAUUAAAUUUUAUUUACUACUAAGAGUGGAUCCAUAACCCUAACUAAUUCAAUUUCAUAGUUUUACUUAAAUUAAGUUGCAUAAAUUCAAGUUUUAUUUUCAUUUUUCGAUCAAAUAAAAUAAACAAAUUAAAUCUUUUCUUUGUAAAUCGAUCUCGGACUCACUGAACUAUAAUAUAACAAGACACUCUUAUACUUAAGAGUUAGAACCUAUUUUUAAGUUUUGUCAAGUUUUUGGCGCCGUUGCCAGGGAAAAGUUUUCAUUUUGUUUUAUUUUUCUCUUUCUGUAAAUUUUUAUUUAUGCCCUUUUCCUUUUCUUAAAUUUUGUUUUGUCCACAAUAUCUUUCAGAAUCUUCACUUUCAUCCCACAUAGUUCUGUUCCAAACUUCUUAAAAUUGUUGUGUGACCAUAAAAUUUUAAAGAAUUAUGAAAAGAUCUCUGGACGAAAUUUCUCAUAAUAAUCAGACUUGAACUUACAUCUUGGACUUAUUUUGAGUUAUGGACAUAAUUUGGACCAAGCAAACGAACUAUUGACUCGUCAUUUUUUUUUAGUUACUUAAUUUUCAUAUUUAUUUUAAUUUAUUUUAUUUUACGAUUGGUUUGAGCCCCCUAUUGUUAUUUAAUUUUCAAUUAUUUUAUUAUUUCACAUGUUUUUGUUUUAUUUUAUUUUCUUAAUUUUUAUGGUGGGUUCAACCACCAAAAUUGUUAUUUAAUUUUAAUUUUAAUUUUUCAAUGUUUUAAUUUUUUGUACACUUAUAUUAUUUGCAUAUUUAAUUAUUAUUUUUUUGUGUAAUUUUCAUUUAAUUCUUUUGUUACUAAUUUGUUUGAAUAUUACCUUUGUGAUAUAAUUAUUGCAUGAGACGUUACUCUCGAACUUCAAGUGGCAGGUUAAUUCGUAGAUCUCAAUCUCCAGCACCAAUCAUCGAUGAGUUCCAAGAUGAAAACUUUUUGGGCGACCCUAAUCCUUAGAUUGAUCAGGGAGACAACCAUUAUCAACAUAAUGCAUGUGAUCAAAAUCAACCAAGAACUCUGAGAGACUAUAUGAAUCCAACGAGAGCCGGAGCACAGUCAUGUAUAGUAUUUCCUCCAGAAGCAUCUCGAUUCAAAUUCAAACUAGGUAUUAUUCAACUUUUAUCAAUAUUUUAUGAUUUAGAAUAUGAGAAUCUACACUUACACCUAAGAGAUUUUGAGGAAGUUUGUAAUACAUACACAGACCAAAAUUAUAGAAUGAACAUAAUUAGAUUAAAGUUUUUUCUUUUUUCAUUAAAAGAUAAAGUUAAAACUUGACUACAAAAUCUUAUAUCUGGAUCAAUAAGAACUUGGAAUAAUAUGCAAGAACAAUUUUUUUAAAAAAAAUCUUUCCACCUUAUAGAACCAAUUCUUUUAAAAGGCAAAUCACUUCUUUCACUAAAAAAAAAUGGAGAAAAAUUAUACUAAUAUUGAGAUAGGUUUAAAGAAUUGCUUAACAUAUGCCCACACCAUAGUUUUGUAACUUGGCGAUUGGUCACUUAUUUCUAUGAGGGCUUAACACCCCAAAGUAGACAAGUUGUUGAAAUGAUGUGUAAUGGUGAAUUUAAGGAUAAAAAUCCUGAAGAUGCACUAAAUUACCUUGACUAAUUAACUGAAAAUGCGAAACAUUGGGACACUGUUGAAACUUUUGAAUUGACAAAUAAACCACAACCAUCUCCAUCUAAUGGAGGAAUCCAUAAUCUUCGGAAAGAUCGUGAUUUAUAAGCAAAAUUUGCAUCCCUAGUUAGAAAAGUUGAAGCUUUGGAGUAUAAAAAAAGUGAUCAAGUAAAAUUUGUUCAAGAAAUUGUAUGCAAUAUUUGUAGUUCUAAUGAUCAUUUCACUCAAGAUUAUCCCACUCUACUUGCACUUAAAGAAUGUCUACAUGAUCAAGCUAAUGCCAUUAACACUUUUAAUAAGCCAAACCAUAUUCACAGACUUAUAAUUCUGGUUGGAUAAAUCAUCCAAAUUUCAGUUAGAGGAAUGAUAAUAAUGCACAAUCUUCAAAAGCACCACCUCCACAAACUUUUCAAAAUGUUCAGCCUUAUGCACCAUAUAUUCCACCGCCAUGGAAAAAUCUGGAAGACACAAUGCAUUCAUUCAUCAGAAAGGAAAAUGUUAUUAACAAUCAAAAUGUACAAACUUUUUCUGAUUUGAAAGAUACUCUUGCUAAAAUUGCUUUUGCACUCAUAAUUCAAGAAAAAAGAAAAUUUCCAGCCCAACCACAACCAAAUCCUAAAAUUCAAUAAAAUCCACCCAUGGACCAAGUCAAGUCAAUUAUAACUCUUAGUAGUAGUAAGGUUGUUGAUAAACCUAUGCCUGAACCUUGUGAAAAUGAUGAAAAUUCAAAGGGUAAGGAAAAACUAAAUGAACUUACACCUAGUGAAGAAAUAACUAGUGUUCCACCUGAACCACCAUUUUCGCAUGCAUUGAAUAAUCCAAGGAAAUCAAACCACUCUUUCUGAAAUUUAUGAAAUUUUUAAGCAAGUGAAAGUUAGCAUUCUUAUAUUAGAUGCAAUCAAGCAGGUACAUUCAUACGCCAAAUUUUUAAAGGAUUUGUGCACUGUCAAGAGGAAAUUGAAGGUAAGAAAGAGUGCUUUCAUGGCCGAACAGGUAAGAACAAUUAUCUCUACUAAUAAUAAGUUGAAAUAUAAAGAUCUUGGUUGUCCUACCAUUUCUUGUAUUAUUAGUGAUCACAUAAUUGAGCAUGCUUUACUAGAUCUUGGUGCUAGUGUUAAUUUGCUUCCACAUUCAGUUUAUCUUCAACUUAAUCUCGGUGAGUUAAAAUCAACUUCAACUACACUUUUGCUUGCCGAUAGAUCAGUUAAAGUACCAAAAGGAAUAGUGGAAGACGUUUUAGUACAAGUUGAUAAAUUCCUAUACCUUGUGAAUUUUAUUAUCUUAGAAACAGAAUCAGUUGUGAAUGAUUAUAAACCAAUUCCUGUAAUUUUAGGUCGACCCUUUUUUAGCAACUGUUAAUGCUUUAGUUUAAUGAAUUUAUCCUUUGGAAAUAUGACUUUGGAAUUGAAUGUUUUCAACAUGUGCAGGCAACCUAAUAAAGAAAAUGAGAAUGAAGAUGAUACUAAUGAACAAAAGGAAUUGCUUGAAUCUUGUAUAGAGGAAAAUAUUCAAAAAACAGAUUUUACUGAACUCUCUGACAUUUGUUUAAUUAAUUCAAUUGAGUCAAAUAAGCAAUUUGAACUUAAUAUUUCUAAUAUAAAUUCGUUGCUUGAUUCUGUACAGAAUUAUGAUGAAGAGCCAAAAUUUGAAGAGCUUGGAAGUAUUGAAAAGACAGAACAACCAGAAGCACCCAAACUGGAAUUGAAACCUUUGCUUGAAUGAUUGAAAUAUGCUUUUCUUGUAGAAGAACAAACUUAUCCUAUUGUGAUUUCUUCUACUCUAACAAGCGACCAAGAAGGUAAGUUACUAACUGUUAUUAAAAAGCAUAAAAAUGCAAUUGGAUGGACUUUAAAUGAUAUUAAAGGCAUUAAUCCCUUAAUUUGCACGCAUAGAAUUAAUUUAGAAGAAAAUGCUAAAACAGGUCAACAACCUUAAAGAAGAUUAAACUCACACAUGAAAGAGGUAGUUAAAACAGAAGUUCUUAAAUUGCUUGAUGUGGGAAUUAUCUACCCUAUUUUUGAUAGUAAGUGGGUUAGUCCUACACAAGUAGUGCCCAAAAAAUAUGGAAUCACUGUUGUUAAAAAUGAAAAAAAGGUGAAUUAAUUCCAACACGAAUUACAUCUAGUUGGCGCAUGUGCAUUGAUUAUAGAAAGUUAAAUGAAUCCACUAGAAAAGAUCAUUUUUCAUUAGCAUUUCUUGACCAAAUCUUAGAAAGAGUAGUUGGACAUCCCUACUACUACUUUUUAGAUAGAUAUUCGGGUUAUUAUCAAAUUCCUAUAACACUUGAGGACCAAGAAAAGACCACAUUUACAUGCCCUUUUGGAACAUUUUCAUUUAAAAAAAUGUCAUUUGAGCUUUGUAAUGCUCCUGCAAUAUUUUAAAAAUGUAUGCUAAGCAUUUUCUGUGAUAUGGUUGAACAUUAUUUAGAGGUCUUUAUGGAUUAUUUGACUGUGUUUGGGAAUCCUUUUAAUGAUUGCCUUGAUAAUUUGGAGAAAGUCUUAAAAAGAUGUGUUGAAAAAGAACUUAUGUUGAAUUGGAAAAAAUGUCACUACAUGGUUACUUCUGGAAUUGUUUUAGGUCAUGUUGUAUCUGUUAAAGGAAUUGAAGUUGACAAAGUAAAAAUAGAAGUCAUAUCGAAAUUGUCGCAACAAAAAAUAGUUAGAGAUGUGCGAUCCUUUUUAGGACAUGCAGGAUUUAAUAGGAGAUUUAUAAAAAAACUUUAGUGUCAUAUUUAAACCAUUUUGUAACCUCUUCUUAAAAGAUGCACAGUUUGAAUGGACUGAUGAUUGCCAAAAAUCUUUUGAGAAAAUAAUUUGUCUUUUAAUAUCUGCAUCUAUUAUGCAAUCUCCUGAUUGGUCUUUACCUUUUGAAUUAACAUGUGAUGCAAGUGAUUUUGUUGUUGGUGCUGUUUUAGGACAAAUAAGGGAUGGUAAGCCCUUUGGGAUUUAUUACGCGAGUAAGACUUUGGAUAGUGCUCAAAUGAAUUAUUCUAUAACUGAAAAAGAAUUACUUCUUGUGGUAUUUGUAUUAAACAAAUUUCGUUCAUAUUUGCUUGGCUCUAAAUCUGUUGUUUUUACUUACCACGUUACUGUGGGAUAUUUAAUGAGUAAACAGGAUGCCAAACUGAGAUUAAUUCGUUGGAUUUUGUUACUUCAAGAAUUUGACCUUACCAUUAAAGAUAAAAAGGGUGUUGAAAUGUCGUUGCUGAUCAUUUAUUAAGACUCACAUUUGACUUCUGCACUGAUAUAACACCCAUAAAUGAUUCUUUCCCUGAAGAAUUUUUAUUUUCUGUUACUUCAAUCCCAUGGUAUGCUAACAUUGUUAAUUUUCUUGUUAUCGGUAAAAUGCCUUUGCAAUGGAAUGCUCGAGAGAAGAAGAACUUUUUAGUUGAAGUAAAGAAAUUUUAUUGGGAUGAUCCUUACUUGUUCAAAUAUUGCCCAUACCAAAAUUUUCGGCGAAGUAUUCCUGAUAAUGAGGUAAGUGUUAACAUAUAUAUUUCCAUGAUGUUGAUUUUGAUAAUAACAAACAAGAUUAAGAAUGAUUAAUUUUUUAAGCUCAAAUUGUAAGGGGAACUUACAUUUAGGGGGGAGCAAUUUAUGCAAUCAUUAUUUAAAUACAUGAAAAGUUUGUCAUCAUCAAAAAGGGGGAGAUUGUUAACAUUUAUGUAUUCAUAAUGUUGAUUUUGAUGAUAACAAACAAAAUUAAGAAUGAUUAAGUUUUUAAAAGCUCAAAUUGUUUUUAUACAUUUUAAAUAAAUCAUUAUUUUCACAUUUUAAAGGUUUUAUAUUUAAUGGAAAAAUGAUUUUAUGAAAUUAGUUGUUUUUCAAGUUUAUGGUUUAAUUGAAACAGUUUUGAAAACUUUGAAAUUAACAAGUAUUGCUUGAAAUUUUGGAGAAGGAUUUAUUUGAAAAGUAUUCAUACCAUUUUAGGUUAUUUCAUAAUUUCAAAAAGUUUUGGGAAUAGUAAGUAUUAUUUAGAAAUUCUAAAAUUGGACCUAUUUACAAAAUUUAUAACAUUUUGGGCCAUUGUACAGUUAUAUAAAGUUUUGGGGUCAAACUGUUAUUUUACAAAAUAGUUCACUGUAGCAGUUACUAUAGAAAACGGCGAUCCGACAUCUUGAUAACGGCUCAGCGACAUCGAACAGAUUUGAAGAUUAGCCUCUAGACACUAACGGUGAUCCGACAUCUAUAAAACGGCGAUCCGACAAUUUGAAAAUUCAGCCCAACGGUCAUAUUGACCAGUUAUGUAACACCCUAGGCGAAUCCCACAUCGGCAAAGCACGGGAGAGAUGCUGGGUUUAUAAGGGGUGAUCCACACCUUAAUUGGCAAGACGCGUUUUGGGGUGUAUGGGCGCCCCAAGAACAAAUCCGUGCGGGCCUUGUUAAGGCCCAAAGCGGACAAUAUCUUGCCAGGUCUGGGUUGGGUCAUGACAUUAUGGUAUCAGAGCAGCUCCGCAUGUCCUCUUGAGCGAUGGUGGGGCAAACCUCAGCGAGGACGCUGAGUCCCCAAGGGGGGGUGUAUGUAACACCCUAGGCGAAUCCCACAUCGGCAAAGCACGGGAGAGAUGCUGGAUUUAUAAGGGGUGAUCCACACCUUAAUUGGCAAGACGCGUUUUGGGGUGUAUGGGCGCCCCAAGAACAAAUCUGUGCGGGCCUUGUUAAGGCCCAAAACGGACAAUAUCUUGCCAGGUCUGGGUUGGGUCAUGACAUUAUGUAACGCCACAAAUUCUCAUAUAUAUUAAGUUAUAGAAAUUGAGCUUUCAUUGAGAAUUAUGGGUGGCCCAUAACCCUUAUUAAGAGGUUAUUUAUGAGAUAAUUUUGGGAAAAUGGUUAUUUUCCUAAUUAAAUAGGGUUUCUUAAGACUCCCUAUAAAUUCAUACUUUUUCCUUUCCAUAACCCUAAGUUCACAACGUUUAUUCUUCUUCUCUGCUGCUCUUUACGCUCUUACCCAAAUCUUAGGAUUCAAACAUUUGUUUAGGAGAGAAUCAAGCGACGGGUAAGUUGUUCUCCAUGUUCUCAACAGAUUUCUAAUCACUCUAUCUAACUAGGGUUUAUAUUGGCACGAUUCUAAUGGUUGUAGAUCAUGAUGCAUGGUUUAGAAUAUAUUUAGACUUUGCUUAGGGUUUUGAUUUAGUAUGAGUUUAGUUAAUCAAUCCUUGACGUAUUAAGCACAGGAUAAUUCUGGACAGCAUGAGGAUCUCGAAUUUUAAAGCUAUAUUUUCUGAACGAAUUUUCUUAUAAAAUUUAUAUUUCUGGAAACUAGACAUGUCGGGAUUCUUGAUUAAAUUUUAUUUCAUUAAAUUCAACUUCGUUUUCAAUUUUAUAUGUAUUUUGGAAAUAGAAACCACUGCACUGGAAAUCCACGAUUCCAGUAUUGUGAUCAGAUUCACAAGACUAUUUAUACCACCAAAUGAACUCAAAAAAUUCUGAAAGUUUAUAUGUAUGUUAAUAUAUGUGUCUAGGAUUCCCAGUUUUAAUUUCAUAAUUUUCUGAUUAGUAGUUUAUUUUAUAAAAAUCACGGAACCCGUUCUGUUUGGUUUAGAUUAUGUGAAAACAGUUUCGAAUUUGAUGAGAAGUAAAUAGUUUUUAAAAUGUUUUUGAUAUCGGAUUAUCUUGUAAAUUUUACAUGGGGUACUCAUGAAUGUUCAGAAUGGUUCCAUAGGAUUUUAUAUCAUUCUGAGACUUGGAUUAAGAGUUAAAAUUCCGAGAAUCAGACCUGUACGGGUAUGAAUUAGAAAAUCAAAUUCUUAGAAUAAGUUAUUGAUUGUCAUAUCUUGUAUUUGUUUAAGGUUUUGAAGGUGUUUGAGACUCUUAGAAGCUUAGAGGUGUGUUAAUCCAAGUUCAUUUGUCGAGGUAAGUAACUUCAUUCCUAAUGUACUGGAUAUGUAUAAGUAUUUUGAUAUUAUUAUUAUAAGUAUAAAUGUUUUGAUACUACUUAAAGGAUUACUAAUUUUGAUAACAAAAUUAGCUUUAUGUACAUGUUUUCAAACCAUUCUUUUUAACAAAGUAUUUUAUAAAUGCUUUUUAAUAUGUAAAUGAUUUUAUGACAUGACAACCUUUUAUGAUGUUAUCUUUAAAAUGUUAUGCAAGCCUAUAUUAUUGAUAAGAACUUUUAUGAAACUGAUACGAAUGUUUUGUACCUAUGUUUGAUUUCAAUUAUUGAUGAUUGUAUGAGAUUCUUAAUGCUUUGGCUCAUUGUCCAUAGUUAGUCUGAUUCUGAUUCUGAUCGUAAUAUACGAUAUAUCCGUCUGGACCAGUACUGGGUUUCUGUUAUGAAUGUGCACACGAUAUUCUGAUUCUGUUUCUGGCCGGGUCACCGGGACUAUAGGUGACACUAUGUGACAUGAGCUAACCUGUUUGUUUUCUGUAUACGUAUUACAUGAUUUGCUUCGUAAGUAAAUAUGCUUUUGAAUAUUCUGAAUUAUUAAGAAUUUAUCUUAUGUUAUUGUGAUAUAUCGUUUUAUGAAAAUUAUGGAUUAUGAUAUAUGCUUUAAACAAAAGAAGGCUUGCAAUAUUUUUGGUAUCGAUAGGCCUAGUGUGUUAGGAAUGGUUUUACUUACCGAGUUGACGGCUCACCCCUCGUCAUUACUUUUUUGCAGAUUAAGUUUCUUUUGAGAGGUGCACUUAGCUUUGGAGUUAGUGAUUUCCAGUUUCCGUUUGCUAUUGAAUAAGAGGAGGAAUAGACUUGUGUUUCUAUUUAGUUACUUUUAUUAUGAACGUGUAAUUUGGAGUUUGAGACUUUUGUUAUUAUUUUUAUAUGUCCUCGAGAGAGAUUAUUUAGUAUUUGACGUUUGGAUUUAUGGAUUUAUUUGAAUAAGAAUUGGAGGAAUUUCAGUUUGAAACUUAUGAGUAAAGAUUAAUGAUUUGUGAGUAACCUCCUUCUUCACGUGCUCCGCACGUGUUAGAUUUGGGGUGUUACAAUUGUGGUAUCAGAGCGAUUGACCAUCCUUAAGAUUAACAAUUAUGCCGAUUUGAUUUGGGCCUUAACAAGGGGGGUGUAUGUAACACCCUAGGCGAAUCCCACAUCGGCAAAGCACGGGAGAGAUGCUGGGUUUAUAAGGGGUGAUCCACACCUUAAUCUCUCCCGUGCUUUGCUGAUGUGGGAUUCGCCUAGGGUGUUACAUACACCCCCCCUUGGGGACUCAGCGUCCUCGCUGAGGUUUGCCCCACCAUCGCUCAAGAGGACACGCGGAGCUGCUCUGAUACCAUAAUGUCAUGACCCAACCCAGACCUGGCAAAAGGUCAAUAACGGCUAGUUUUCAGCUCCAACUAUCAAUAAGCUCAUUCAAAUCCAAACAUGUACUAUUCCAACAAUUAUCAUUGAGCACAAUAUUGAGAAUACAACUUUCAUUGCGCUUUAAAUCUUUGUAUUCAUCUCAGUCAUUCACACAUUGAGCUUUCAUUAGUGAUCAAACAUAUUGUGUGAGAGAAAUUCAUUUAUAAUCUUUUUUGUAAAAUCAAGUUAAGAGAUUGUAGGUGUUGGGAUACACUUGGGUUAAGAGAUUGGGGAUAAUCUCUUGUUGUGAAGGUUCAUUGACACCUUGGAAGUCAAUUAUAAUCAUUCGAAGCCUUGGAGGCUUGCUUAGUGAAAUCCUCAAGCUCAGGGAGCUUGGAGGCGUGGACGUAGGUAAGGAUUGCCGAACCAUAUAAAAAUCAUUGUGUUUGCUCUCUCUUCCCUUAUCUUUUUAUAUUGUGAUUGAUUUAUUUGUUAUUACUUUAAAUUCGUUUUAGAUUUGCAUUGAGUUUUGCUUUAAAAUUGAAUAAUUUUUAAAAACCCAAUUCACCCCCCUCUUGGGUUGCAUAACUAGAAUUUCAGUAAGUAGUGUCAUUAAUUUUUGUUAUUUUGAAGCAUGUGGUGGACACUUUUCUUCAAGAAAAACUACUGCUAAAAUUUUGCAAUGUGGAUUUUAUUGGCCUACCAUAUUCAAAGACACAUAUGAAUUUUGUAAAACUUGUGAAAAAUGUCAAAAAUUGGGAUCAAUUACUAAAAGAAACAUGAUGCCGUUAAAUUUCAUACUUGAGAUUGAAAUAUUUGACUGUUGGGGAAUUGACAUUAUAUGUCAUGAGUGCCUCAAUAAGAAAGUUCCUGGUCACACAUCUUAAAAGCCUUUUGCGUGUGAAAUCUCACUUGAGAGGCCUGAUACAAAGCGGCAAAUCAAAUCCACUUUGGGAUCUAAAACCACCAAUAUUAGUGUCCUACGUUGAGGACCUAGAAAGACAACUCAGAGCAAUAAAGAGUGGUAUAUAUGAAUUUCAAUUGGAGCUUGAGGUUAACUCAAUAAAAGGACGAAUGUAAGUUCAUUUUUCUCUUUUCUUGUGUCAUUUGUUUUUGUUGUUUUGUUCACUUUCGCAUUUGAUUUGAUUUUGUAGUUUUGAUUCUUUUUAUUUUUGUGUGUUUUGAUUUAUUUUCCCGUAUAAAUGGCGGAUAACGUUACUCUGUCACUUCUUAAGUCAGGAUCUUCAGUUUCCCACAAUAACUGAAACCCCAAAAUCAAACAUGGAAGAAAUAUAACAUAAACUGCAUAAGCAUUUUUCCUUUCUCCUUCAGAAUGCCCUAAGGAAAAUUUAUAAAGCUCGUUGUGAAUGACUGCAUUUGUUAAUGAUCAAAGGCAUUCCUUCUAACAUUCGUUGGUUAAUUGAAGUAAAGGUCCGAUUAGCAGGUGAGUUUUCUGAUCCAUUUGUUUAUUUCAUUCCUGGUUUUGGUAAAAGUACAUUUGCUUAAAAAAGAAGAGCUAAACAACUUGGCUCAAAAUGUCAUAAUUGUGUAAGAUUUCGUUGCAAAUGGAGGAAUUGUAAAUCUUUAGGAAUGGGGUCUGAUAAUCAUGAAGAUAAAAUUAAAUUCGUUAAAGAUGGCCUGAGUAAAGAAUCGUUGGAUGAUAUCUUCGAUCUCUUGAGACGCAUCAAAGUGGAUAUGUGCAAUGUAAGAUUCAUAAUUUGUGGAUACUAUUCUAAAAAUAAAGUGCACAAUUUAGUCUUAGGAAUCUGACUCAAAAGGACCAUGUUUGCCAGUUUAUAAGAAAACUGGAUGGUAAGCAUAUCCUCAACCCAUAGAGGGCGUUCAAGUCGUUACUGGACGUAAAACGAGAGGAAGAUGUGAGCCAUAAUCACAACUACCAGUAAAUAUCCUUUUCUUUUGCUGUUUUUUUUAUCAUUUGCAUUAUUGCAUUUAGUGGUGUGAUUUUGUAUUUAAUAAUUAUUUGUUUUCUUUUACUGUUUGCUUUUUCUAAUCACUAUUUUCUUUUUCUUUUUACUGUUUGCUUUUGAAUUAUUGAGUUAUGAGCUUGAAAUGCAAGUUAUGCAACCUAAGAGGGGGGUAAAUUGGGAUUUUAAAACUUAUACAAAACAAUUCAUACAACAAUUUAAUCUAUUUUCUUAAUCAAAUAAAAAAUAAUAAAUUAAAUAAAGCACAAUAAUAAAAGAGUAAGGGAAGAGAGAGCAAACACAAUAAUUUUUACGUGGUUUGGCAAUCCCCACCUAUGUCCACGCCUCCAAGCCAACCAAGCUCAAGGAUUUUACUAUCCAAGCCUCCCAAGGCUUCAAGUUCUUUACAAUUGACUUCCAAUAUGUUAAUAAACCUUUACAACCAAGAUAUUAUCUCUGAAUCUCUUCACUCAAGUGUUUCUCACACUUAUACACUCACAAAUUUGAUGAGAAAAUAAAGAUUACAACAAAGAAACUCUUUUUAAGAGUGGAUAUACAAAUUAUAGCACAAUGAUAAUUCAAUAUAUGAAGAUUUGUGAAAUGGAAGCUCAAUAUAUGUUAUAUACACUUGUUUAUACUUGCAAAAGUCUUAAAAUUGAUGUUGGAGUUGAGUUUUUAUAGAUAAAACCUGAAAACUAGCCGUUAUAGGCAAAUUCGAGCAAGCAAGCAGUUAGCCGCUUAAUUUAUCUCGCUCCCUGCUUUAGAAUAGUAAAGUUACCGUUAAAUUUGAAUAUUGCUACAGUAAUACUGUUAAUAAAAUUACUAUUUUUCUCAAAACUUUCUAUAAUUAUACAAUGGCCCAAAACGUAUAAAACUUUACAAAAAAGUAUAAUUUCAGAAUUUUUAAAUAAUACUAGUUAUUCCCAAAGCUUUCUAAAAUUGUGAUAUGGCCCAAUACAUGAUAAUUUUUUAAAAAUAGUCAUUUUCAAAAUUUAACAAAAUACUUAUAAAUUUCAAAGUUUUCAAAACGUUUUCAAUUUAGUCCAAAAUUUGAAAAUGUGAAGUUUUCCACAUGCGGCUAGCCGCUAGCCCUUAGGAGGUUAGCCGCUAACUCUCUAUCCACUUACGAUAUUUGCACUCAGGCCCUCAAACUUUUAUAAAUUAUAGUAUGGCCUAAAAUAUUUCAAAAGUUUGCAAAUAAGUCGAAUUUCGAAAUUCAAAACAAUACUUAUUAAAAUCAAAUAUUGCAAAACUUUUUCAUUUUAGUUCACAUCUUGAAGAAUAACUAACUUCAUAAAAUUCUUAGCUUAUACUUGUAAAACUUUUGAUUUAUGAAAAAAUAAUGAUUUAUUAAACAAAAUCUUGAACUUCUCAAAUGCUAAACCAUUUAUAUAUUAAAUCAUCCCGGUUUUACAAAAAUUGUCGCAAUAGUGAGUCUGUUGAGCUCUAAACUUUAUUCUUGAUUGCGCCGUUGUCCGUUAAGUGUCUUGAACUUGAUUUCACGCGAUUCACUUCAUCAUAAAUAUUUUCCUUCAAGAACUAGUGAAAUGUGAAUACAAUAUUUUUCAAAUCAUUUAAGACAUAUGUUUGUUAUCAUCAAAAUUAUAUGAUGUAUAGCCCUUUAGGCUAAUUGAGCUUUACGUGUCAUUUGACAAAUAUGCCAACCCAUUUACAACUGUUUCUCAUUAUUUCAGUCACCAAGAUCUUUAAAUAUGAGCUCGUUUUUCAAACACUCACAACUUUUUGAAAGAUUAUUCCAAUGGUAACAUCUUCGAGUAAACAAUAUAAAAACAUUUGGGAGCUUUCUGGGUUUCACUAUGGAAAGUACAAGGAGUUCGUUCAGACAGUUGUAGAUCUUGGUCAUGUUAUAGCAGAGAGGAACCUACACUUUGCAUAUGGAGGAGGUGAACGAGGGUUAUCAAGGCUUGUCUCAGAAGUUGUUUUUACUAGUGAAAGCUAAGUACUAGGCGUUAUUCCAAAAGCCAUUAAACCUCUAGGAUGCCUGUCUGGCCCACCAAUUAGAGUAGAAUUAGUGGUAUCAAGUAUGGAAGAGAAAAUAUCUAAAAUGUUAAAUCAUGCUGAUAUUUUUAUUCUCUUACUAGGAGAUCUUGCAACUCUUGAGGCACUGAUUACAUUUGCAUCUUGGGCACAUUUGAACAUUCAUAAAAAACCCAUCGACUUGUUAAAUAUUAAUAAUUUUAUGAUGGCUUGCUAACUUUUAUUAACCAUGCAAUUAGGAAUCAUUUUGUUCCACACUCUGUAUAAAACUAUUGAUUUGUGCUUCUUCUGCGAAUGAGUUACUUGAUCUUUUACUAGCUUAUACACCAGAGCCAGAUCCCAAGACUUACGCGCUGGAUUGGUCGACUCAUAAUGGUAGCAGUAGCAGUAGUAAGAAGUGCAAAUUAGAUUUAACUCUACGUUUGUAAAUAUUUUCUGUUGCAGUGUUCAUGUGAUGUCUUUUAAACUUUUCCUCUUUCCUUUUAAAACAUUGAGGACAAUGCCUCGUUCAGGUUGAGGAGAGGGAUUAAUUGAUAAUUGUGGAAUGUCUUAGUCCUGGUGAUGUUUUUACAAGGUUUUACUGUAAAGACUAACUUUGGACUAAAUUUGAGUUGAAGAUGGAUGGAUAUGGAGAUUGCAGUACCUCUAGAAACGCAUCUUCUUAAUCUUAGAGUUUUAUUAAAAAAGAUGUAACAUUUGCUUGUUUUUUGUCAUCUUCUUUUAAGCUUCUGUAUUGAGUUCAGGUGAGAUCUCCCCUUCUUCUUCUGUUGUUAUAUAUAUAUAUGUGUAUAUAUAUAUAUAUAUAUAUUGUAUGCAUAUAUGUAAAACUCUAAAAUGUUGAGAUAAUGUUUAGAUUAGGUUGGGGUGGGGGAUAAUUGACGUGUGUUUUUAAAUAUGUGUGUUUGUUUUUCCCUUUUUCUUUAAAAAAAAAACCAAUUUUUUUUGUCUAGGAUGGUUGUGUAAAGAGUUACGACUUUUGAGACGCAUCCUAAUAGUUAUGUUGUGUUAUAUUUUGAUUUUGAAAUUCAUAGUAAGUUGUUUUUUUUUUCAUUUUCUUUGAAUUACUCAAAUUUUUGAACUCUCCAAUUGGUUACUAAGUCAUUUAAUUGUUUAUCAUUUAACAAGUAUUGUUGAAUCAUUCUUCACACACACACUAUGACAUAUACUAGUGGGUUGUAAGUUCAAAUUUUUAUAGCAUUUAGUUCUUUUGAUUUAUUAGGAAUAAUAUCUAAGGUAGUAGAAAAUGUAUAUUGCCAAAAAUAAUUUUGAAUGUGUUUAAUUUUGCUAUAUCUAAAACGCGAGUAAUUAAGUUCGUAGGGUGUUUCAACAUCUAGUGCCCUAAGACCAACUGGUCUGGGAGUCACUGGCCUAAAGCUCGCUAUAUGAGUUAUAGAUAUAUUGUUUGCUUAUUUAUUAGAAACUCGAGUAAUUAAGUCCGUAAGGGUGUUUCAACACCUAUUGCCCUAAGGCCAACUGGUUUAGGAGUCACUGGCCUAAAGCUCGCUACAUAGGUUAAAAAUUUAAUGUUUUAAAAUUUAUGUGAAUAAUCUACUGCCUAAAGAUAGAAUUUCUAAUGAAUUUUGGAACGAAAAUGUUGUUUUUCUUUUAAUGAAACGCCAUAAAUAUUGUGUUAAUUACUUGAUUAUAAAAAAAAGUUCGAUGAUAUUCUGGAUAAUGUGCACAAAAGAAGGUUUGUUGCUCUGCAAGCAUUUUAGUUUUCUUUGUCCCAGUUGUUCUUCUGUUGGUUUUUGCGCUGUUGAUUUAGAAAAUUUUAAAAGACUUUUUGUCCUCUCAUUUAGAUGUAAUUUUCUUUUUCUUUUUCUAAUCUUUAUAAUCAAUAAAGCGACCCCUCGUUCUGCUGAGGUUUGCCAAGAAGAAAGAAAGUGACAACCGGGCUGGAGCUCCGGUGUAUGUUUUAGUGAACUUGUUUGAUCCCGGUAGUACAAGAUAAAAUCGAUGAAAUUAAAAUGAAUAUACUCACAUAGUUAUCGGAAGACAAAUUACUUAAGAGUGUAGCUAAGUUACAUUAUAUGUUAACUACACAAAAUAUGUACUUAAUGUAAUUCAAAACAUGUUAACAAUUUAACAAUAAUUAAAUUUUUGGGAGCCACUCUUGGGUUGAUGUAAGUUAUAUAUAAUGUAACUUAACUUGACUCUUUAUAAGUACUAUGUCAUUACCUAAUUAUAGUGCUAUACACUCCUUAUUUAAUGCUUUCUUGAAAAAAUUGCAGAAACAAUAUAAAGAAGAUAAAUUUCAAUAUAUUAUUAAUUUAUGAGCACAAAGACUUAAUUUAUAUAAGUAUUUGAAAGAUGAAAAAAGAAAUAAUACAACUAACAUAAUUUGAAAAUAAUAUUGAUUAACAAAGAUUUAGUCAAUCAAAUUUUAUGUUGAUUUGUAAUCAAUCUUUUUUAAUCAGUAAUUAAGAUGGAGACAAUCAAUUAUUUAAUUGAAUUUUUUUUUGUUUUCAUCAAUAUUGUUUGAUUCUUAUCAUCCCCAACUUGCCUUAAAAAAUUGCAAAUCGUUGAUUUUUAUUUCUAGUCUCAUCCAAUUGUCACGUAACAAAUUAGGAAGCAUUCCUUUGAAGCUUGUCUAGAAAAUUUUUAAAUUGUUUUCAUGUAUUUUUUUUUAAGAUCGUGAAAAAUCACAAGUAAUUCAAUUUCAUUGAUCAAGGAAUUCUUUUAACAUGAAAACCAAAACUUUGAUCGUUUUAAAGAAAAUCUUCACUCAAGAAUUUUAUCUUCAUUCUUUUGAUUUUGUCAUAGAAUUCUUUCAUUUAGAAAGCCAUUCCAUUGAUCUUGUCAAGGAAACUAUCGAUUUUGAGUUUUUUUUUUCAUUCCCUUUUUCUUUUGACGUCAUAUCCUUUAUGAUGGUGUUAAGGUUAGUUAAUGGUGGGUCAAACAGCUUUUUUUUUUCCUGAAGAAAUUGAAGAACAAUUAAAAGGCAACUCACAUCUCACACUUUUAGACCACCAUGCUCUCGAAACCUGUCAUUUACAUGGUGGCUAAGCCUAAACUCACCAAUUUAGGGACUCUCAAACCAUGCUAUGAUACUAUGAAAACUUUUUAGCAACAAUAUAAAGAAGGUAAGUUUCACUCUUAUUGAUUCACGGGCACAAAAAUUAAAUCUAUACAAGUAUUUGAAACAUGAAAAAGAAAUGAUAUAAUUAACAUAAUUUUGAAAUAAUGAUUGAUUAAAAUAAUUUAGUUAAUGAGUUUUGAGUAGUGCUACACAUCUCAAAUUAUUUAUCUCCAAAAAACUAUUCCAAAUGAUAUUGCAUUCAUUAAUUGAUCAAUGAGGAUAAUACAAUUUAUUCACUUAGAUAAUGUAAAGAGAUGCCAACCAAUCAAUGAAUGUUAUAUCAUUUUGGACGGAAUUUGGAAUAAAAAAUUUAGGAUGUCUAUCAUUACUCAUUAGUAUUUAUGUUGAUUUACUAUUAAUCUUUCUUAAUUAGUAAUUAAGAUUGAAAUAAUCGAUCAUGUAAUUGACUGCUUUGUUGCCAUCAAUAUUAUUUAAUUCUUAUUUUAUUUUUUACUUAAUAAAAUCUCUUUUCUUAAAGAUUAGUUGUUAUAAGAUGAUAAUCGAACAAAAUUGGUCAAGAUAUAUGAUUUCCCUAUAAUAUUUUAUGUAUUUUUACAUCAUUAAUAGUGAGUUUAUUAUAAAUCAUAGAUUUAAAUCUUUUAAUUUUAAUCAUUCAUUCAAUAUAAUGGAUAAAUAAUUAAUUAACUAAAAGAUAUCAUGUAAUUUAUAGGUUGCUAGUAAAUUUCUUAUCCUUCCAGCUACAAUUAAUUUUUAAUGAAAUUAAAGCAUUUCUUUAUGAAUGGAUGAGACAGUAUCAAACAAUUUCUUGAGCUCUAGAUCCAGCGCCUAGUACAAUUGAUGAAACAAUAAAUCAAUAUCAAUCGUAUAGCUUAAAUCAAUACCAAAAUGCAAUGGAAUAAGCAAUACUUGAGAACAACUUAAUUUUAAAUAAAAGAGCUUAAAAUAUUUUAUUUUGUUAUAUCUCUUUUUAUUUUUUAAAUUUAAAAUCACUUGUUUAACCGAUUUGUUAAUCGGUUAUAUCAUUUUAGAAAUAAUUAAUUUUUUAUUAAAAAAUAAUUUAAACUGUUAAUUAGAUUGCACGGUACAUAUUUUUUUAUAUUGUUAAUACUAUAAAAAAAUUACAACAUCAUGAAUAGAUCCAUCAACUUACUAAUGAGAUAGCCACUUUGGCCGAGUGGUGGACCAUACUCUUAAAGUUAACCAUGAUUAUGAGGACAGUGGUUCGAGUCUCUAUGGACUCACCCACCUUCAAUUAAGUAUAAUUGUGUGGAGUUAAUUUGUAAGUUUUUCUCCCUAGCGAAAUGCAAGUGGAGUGCAUUUCGCAGAGAUAUCCCUCAUUUAUGAGGAUUAUUUAUCUGGACAUGUAUUUUAUAUAAUUUAAUGUAAUAAUGUAAGUUCUAAUUAUAUAUUUGAUUGUAAAUAUUAAUGUAAUGAUUUGUUGUAAUAAUAAUUAUAAAUAUUUGUGUAAUAUAAUAAUUUGAUUUGUAAUCAAUAUUUAAAAAACAAAACUUAAUAAUAAGAUGCCGUAACGCGUUACAAAACCGCGCCUUGUGUCGAAUAAGUGACGAAAAUGUGAUCUAACCACAAGAGGGCACAAGACGAAGGGAAACCACCACACAUUUUAGUUGAGAAAAUUUAAUGUAGUCUAGAAGUUUCACUCACGUUAGCGGCACAAACAAUCAUUAUAGUACUUCGCUCUAUGUAUAAUUGACUGGUAAAAAAAACAAAAAAAAAGCAAACGAGUGGUUAUUAAAUGGGAAAUUUACAAAAAUAAUCAUAAAACUUUUGCUAUUUCCACAAUUAACCCUAUAAACUUUUUUUUAUCAACAUUAGCCAAACACACGCUUUUCUCCCCAAAUUACCUUUGUUUACAAACCAAAAGCAACUUUCUUUCUCCCCUUUUAUCAAACCAAACGCAUCUUUGCACUCUUGAAUCAUCACCGGCGACAGCAAAAGGCAACGAUAAACGCCGACGGCGAACGGUAAAAGUGAAAUUCGAUCAUAAUCCAUCCGGAUCCAACACCAAUCGGCAUCACUGAGUGGUAUCAAUUAUUAUCUGAACUUGCGAGAGAGUUUCAGUGUGGUUUGUCACGGGCUGCGUAAAACUCUACGAUUGGAGGUUAACUCACGCAUGCGGGCUCGCUUAGUACUCAAGGUGGGUACACUUAGAAGUGGGGUUGACUUAGAAAUGGGCCGCCAACAUAACAAGCCAUCCGGGGUGCGCUUAGCAAACCACCCACCAAGGCCCAAGAUCUAGAACUCUCUACAUAUUACUCAUUCACUAGAACAUUCUAGGACUCACCACUUGGGUCCCUAAAUAUUUUGCCACUUGUAGUAGAGUUCUCUAGAAUUAAGCACUCCACCCCCUAUAAAUAGGAGUGAGCACCCAUCAUGUUCAUAACCACCAACACACCCACACAACACACCUAGCACACUAGCACACAAGCUCUCUUGUACAAACACCCUUGUAAUCUUUCUAAGUGUAUAUAAUACAAUCACAUUCGGCCAUCUUACUCUUGCUUCCCAUAACAUUUUCUCCAAGUGUGUGUGUUUGACUUGUUUGGGGAGUAAUCAAGGCUUACUUGGCGACUCACGCGCUAAGGUCGCUCAAGCGCCGCACAUGACUUUUCUGCGCAAAAUUAUCAUCCCGCGACAAGUGGUAUCAGAGCUACGGUUUGCACCCACACGCAAACUAGUUCAUAGACGAUGGCCAAUCCUUCCAGCACAUUGCUAGAGGGCACACUCGGUGCGGAGGUACCGGAGCAAGCUCGUGGCCGUGAGGAGGGAGGACGCGGACAACCAAAGUCCCGAGGUAAGUCCAAAGCCCCUUCUAUGGAUGCAUUGGAACCUCGUGUUGCCACGCUCGAAACUUUAAUGGCUGCUGUCCAAGACACCAUUGAUACAUUAGAGGAGCGAGUCGAUGGCCUUGAGGGUGAGUAUGGCGAAUUCACAGCAGCCACCAAAGCCCUCAUGCAAGACCAAACCGACUCCCUUCGAGGGGAGUUCUGAGCGUUCCAUGACGAGCUGCUCAAUUUGCGUAGCUUUGUGCAAAAUGAGUUGCGUGCAGUCCGUGCGGAGGUCGAUGAGGUCCGCUCGGAUUGGGCUUGGCACAAGCGCACACUCAUGCCUAGUCCAGCUACGGUUCCCGCAAGCUCGAGUGAUGCGCACCGCAUUGACGUGCCCAAGCCCGAUACUUAUGAUGGUGCGCGCAACGCUAUUGUGGUGGAUAACUUCCUCUUUGAGCUAGAGCAAUAUUUUGAUGCCAUGGGUGUUCGUGACAAGGCAUCAAAGGUAGGCACUGCCCCUACAUUCCUCUGAGGUGUCGUGCAACUAUGGUGGCGGCAGAAACAUGGUGAGAUGGGCAAGGGCAUUUGCGCCAUCAACACAUGGGCCGAAUUUCAGCAAGAACUCCGCAAGCAUUUUGCCCCAAGCAAUGCGGAGAAGGAAGCACGAGCGCGGUUACGUCGGCUCAAGCAAAUGGGUAGCGUCCGCGAUUACAUCAACGACUUCACCACCCUUAUGCUUGAGAUUUCCAACAUGUCCGAUAAGGACUCUCUCGUCUACUUCCAAGACGGCCUUAAAGAUUGGGCCAAGACGGAGCUUGAUAGGCGUGGCGUACAAACUCUCGACGACGCCAUUGCCAUUGCGGAAUCACUCUCCGAUUACUCUGCCCAGCCCAAAGACAAGAGGCCUAGCCACGGCAAAGGUGGGGGAGAGGGCCGGAAGGACAAGAGCCGCAACCGCAAGGAAUGGGGAUAGAAAACGCCUCCAAGCAGCAAGAGCGGACAAAGCAAGACAGAAAAACAGCAGCCGCCUAAGCCUCGAAGCCCAUGUUUCAUUUGCAACGGCCCUCAUUGGGUGCGUGAUUAUCUGGAGAAAAAGUCGCUUAGCGCCCUCGCCGCUCAGCUCAAGGGCGACUCUCCAUCGACACCGGAAGAACCCCAACCUAGAGUGGGUUCCCUCAAACGCCUUGGCGCACUCGAAAGCCGUCCGCCCACAGCCACGAGGAAAGGGCUCAUGUAUGUGAGUGCCACAGUCAAUGACCAAGCUGUUCGGGCAUUGCUCGACACUGGAGCCACACACAACUUCAUCUCGGAAGAAGAGGCUAAGCGCCUAGGCCUAAAGGUGAUGAAGGACGGAGGCACAAUGAAGGCGGUAAACUCACCCGCCAAGCCCAUUGCGGGCACCGCACAAGGAGUGCGCGUUACUCUUGAGACGUGGAGCAGAAAGCUCGACUUCUCGAUCGUGCCCAUGGACGACUUCAAGAUGGUCCUCGGCAUGGAGUUCUUCGACCGAGUCCAUGCGUUCCCACUGCCGGCCACGAACUCCCUAAGCAUCCUCGACGGGAGUAUGGCGUGCAUGGUCCCAGCCGAGCGCUCGAAGACCACGAACAAGGCGCUCUCCGCCAUGCAUUUCAAGAAGGCUUUUCGGAAGGACCCUAGCUUCUUGGUCUUCAUCCGGGAGGUGAAUAAUGAAGAAGAUCGAGAAGACUUGCCAAGCCAAGCCCCUCCGUUCAUCCAAGCCGUCCUCCACGAGUUCAAGGACGUUAUGCCUCCGAAGCUCCCGAAAAAGCUCCCACCAAGUCGAGAGGUGGAACAUGAGAUUGAGCUAGAGCAAGACGCGAAGCCGCCAGCCUUAGCGCCUUACCGCAUGGUGCCACCUGAGCUAGAAGAGUUGUGGAGGCAACUCAAGGACUUGCUUGAUGCGGGCUACAUCUGCCCAUCCAAGGCUCCGUUCGGUGCACCCGUACUCUUUUAAAAGAAGAAGGAUGGAUCUCUACGCAUGUGCAUCGACUAUCGGGUGCUCAACAAGAUUACAAUCAAGAACAAGUAUCCGAUUCCCUUGAUCGCGGACUUGUUCGAUCAACUCGGCAGCCCACGGUACUUCACCAAGCUCGACCUACGGUCCGGGUACUACCAAGUAUGCAUCGCCAAGGUUGAUGAACCAAAGACGGCGUGCGUGACCAGGUAUGGCUCCUUCGAAUUUCUUGUUAUGCCGUUUGGUCUUACCAAUGCACCGGCAACAUUUUGCACUCUCAUGAACAAAGUCCUCUAAUCGUUUCUCGACUGCUUUGUUGUGGUGCACUUGGACGACAUUGUGGUAUACAACACCACACUUGAGGAACAUGCCCAACAUUUACGGCAAGUUCUCCAAGUACUACGCAACAAUGAACUCUACCUCAAAGUGGAGAAGUGCUCGUUUUCCCAAUGAGAGGUGGAGUUUCUUGGCCACAAGAUAGCGGACGGGAAACUCAUGAUGGAGGACUCGAAAGUAAAGGCUAUACUUGAAUGACAACCUCCCACCAAUGUACUCGAACUCCGAUCUUUCCUCGGAUUGGUGAACUAUUACCGCCGCUUUAUCAAAGGGUAUUCGGCUACAGCAGUACCCUUGACCGAGCUAUUGAAGAAGUACCGCACGUGGCAUUGGUCCAAGGAAUGCCAACGAGCUUUCGGGGAGUUAAAGAAGGCUAUCUCCAAACAGCCCGUCCUCGCACUUCCGGACCAUACAAAGCCAUUCGAAGUUCAAACGGAUGCAUCCGACUUUGUCAUAGGCGGAGUACUCAUGCAAGAAGGCCACCCUAUAGCAUUCGAGAGCCGGAAGCUUAACGACACAGAACGCCGCUACACCAUGCAAGAGAAGGAGAUGACAGCCAUUGUCCAUUGUCUACGUGUGUGGCGACACUACUUACUUGGCUCACACUUCGUGAUCUUGACGGACAACGUAGCCACGAGCUACUUCCAAACACAAAAGAAGUUGAGCCCCAAGCAAGCUAGGUGGCAAGACUUUCUUGCGGAUUUGAUUAUAGGCUCGAGUGCAAGCCCGGAAAAGCCAACGUUGUUGCGGAUGCUCUAAGCCACAAAGCGGAGUUGGCUACACUUAGCAUGAGCCAGCCGAAGUCUGAUCUCGUCACACGCAACAAGGAAGACCUCCAACAGGAUCCGUUAGCGAAAAACUUGUUGGGAAAGGUGCUUGAAGGAAAGACGAGACGAUUUUGGCAAGAAGAAUGCAUCCUCCUCACCAAGGGAGAUUGAUUAUUUGUGCCAAGGUGGGGAAAUUUACGGCGAGAGGUGAUCAAGGAGUGCCAUGACUCGAAAUGGGCUGGCCACCCCGGAGUAGAGCGCACGACUGCACUCGUCCAAGCCUCCUACUUUUGGCCACACAUGAGAGAUGACAUUGAGGCCUACGUGCGGACAUGUCUCGUGUGCCAACUAGACAAGGCGGAUCGCCAACUUCCAGCGGGACUGUUGGAGCCCUUACCAACAGCAUCAAGACCAUGGGAGAGUGUCACCAUGGACUUUAUCUCGGCUUUACCCAAGUCCGAGGGGUGCGGAAGCAUUAUGGUGGUAGUCGACCGUUAUAGCAAAUAUGCGACUUUCAUCGCUGCACCAACCGAUUGCAAAGCGGAUGAGGCUGCCCACUUAUUCGUCAAGCACAUCAUCAAGCUUUGGGGAGUUUCGAAGAGCAUCGUGAGUGACCAGGAUCCACACUUCACUGGACGCUUUUGGAUGGAGCUCUUCAAGAUGUUGGGAACCGACCUCAAGUUCUCAACAAGCUUUCAUCCGCAAAUGGAUGGACAGACCGAGCGUAUCAACAGCCUACUCGAGAUGUAUAUUAGACAUUAUGUAGUGCUCACCAGCGAGAUUGGGCUAAGUUGCUGGACGUUGCCCAAUUCUUAUACAACCUACAACGGAGCGAGGCUACGGGCAAGAGUCCAUUCGAGAUCAUCAUGGGAUUUCAGUUGAGGACGCCCAACGCCAUAGCUUCGACCUAUGAAGGAAAGAGCCCAGCAGCACACAAACUCGCUCGCGAAUGGCAUGAAGAAGCGGACAUCACGCAACCAUAUCUUGACAAGGCCGCACGGAGAAUGAAAAAGUGGGCUGACUCAAGGAGAUGCCAUGUCGAGUACAAGGAAGGCGACCAAGUGAUGGUGAAGCUCUUACCCCAACAGUUCAAGACGUUGCGGAAAGUCCACAAAGGGCUAGUGAGGCGAUACGAAGGGCCUUUCGAAGUGUGGGCAAAGUCUCCUACCAACUCCAACUUCCACCAAGACUCAAAAUCCACCCAGUCUUCCACGCGAGCUUGCUCAAACCAUACCACGGAGAUGCGGGAGAUCCAAGCCGAGGCAAGUCAAGACGUGCCCCGACUGCCGUUGUCACCGCAUCUGACAAGGAUGUGGAGUACAUCCUUGCGGAUCGAGUAAUCCGAAGACGGGGCAUACCGGCUUACAACGAGUACUUGAUGAAAUGGAAGAACCUCCCCGAGAGCGAAACAACAUGGGAGAGCGAAAAUGACCUUUGGCAAUUCGCGGCAAUUUGCGGAACAUGUACAGCUCUACAAGCACAACAACACGACGAGGACGCCACGGACUUAGGUGGGGGAGGAUUGUCACGGGCCGUAAAAAACUCUACGAUUGGAGGUUAACUCGCGCAUACAGGCUCGCUUAGUACUCAAGGUGGGUACACUUAGAAGUGGGGUUGACUUAGAAAUGGGCCGCCAACAUAACAAGCCAUCCAGGGUUCGCUUAGCAAACCACCCACCAAGGCCCAAGAUCUAGAACUCUCUACAUAUUACUCAUUCACUAGAACAUUCUAGGACUCACCACUUGGGUCCCUAAAUAUUUUGCCACUUGUAGUAUAGUUCUCUAGAAUUAAGCACUCCACCCCCUAUAAAUAGGAGUGAGCACCCAUCAUGUGCAUAACCACCAACACACCCACACAAUACACCUAGCACACUAGCACACAAGCUCUCUUGUACAAACACCCUUGUAAUCUUUCUAAGUGUGUAUAAUACAAUCACAUUCAGCCAUUUUACUCUUGCUUCCCAUAACAUUUUCUCUAAGUGUGUGUGCUUGACUUGUUUGGGGAGUAAUCAAGGAUUACUUGGCGACUCACGCGCUAAGGUCGCUCAAGUGCCGCAUGGGACUUUGCUGCGCAAAAUUAUCAUCCCGUGAUAGGUUGCUUGCUGUGAGUCGUGGGACAAUCUGCCUCAAGCUUCGUGCGACAGGUGCCUGUCGCACGAAGCUUGGUGCGUCAGGCAUGAAGCUAUUAAAUGAUCAGAUUGAAACUUGGACCAUUAUCUUAAUAUUGUACCUGCUAAACCAGGCUGGUGUCUUUCAAACUUGUAAGUUGGAGGGAAUCUUAUGAUUGCUUCUCGCAUGCCUUGGAAAACUUUGCCUGCUUUCAUCUCUGCCCGGAGCUGAUCUUUUUCUCUCAGCUAAUCGAAGCAUCUUUGGGAAACAAAGUCUCUUGCUUCAUCGUAAGAUAUUCCAAAAAGUCUAUAGUUCAAAUCACCAAAAAAAUAUAGCCAUAUCUACUUCAGCUAAAUCAGGCUUUGUUUCUUCAGUAUUCAGAGUAGUAGUAGUCUGAGGAAGCACCAGAAUAGCAGUAAACCAUAGCGUCAUAGAGAGGACUAGAAUAUGAAAGGCUGGAGACUAAGAUGUUAUGAGUAAAAUAAAUCAGAACAAGGACGUACAUUUGAAGUCUUCAUUAUGUUGACGGCAGUUGAGACACCAGCUGCAGCAAAAAGCACCAAUGGGAAGCCAAAAAGUAAAAAUAAAUAUGUGCAGAAGGCAAGAGAGCAAUACAAAAACAGGUAUGGCACCAUACCAAAUGCAGAAUUAAGUGUACUUGUCGAUCUACUGAAGACCAUAUUUCUAUAUAUGUGAUCAUAAUCAACAUUCCUACGGUUGACAGCUUCCAAGUGUGCUGCUAGGUGAUAGUUCAUAAAGCAAAUAGUCUUGUCGUAGACUCUGAUUCUCAAACCUACCCCUCCCUGUGUGGCCAGAAGUAGUGGUGUCAACAUAUCUUUCGUUUAUGAUAGAAGGGAUUACGAUUAUAUCACCUAAGCUUCAAUAGUGCAUUAUGCAGACAAGUGUUCUUUUUCUUCGGCAUGUAAAUCACGGUUCAAGACUUACUUGCAUAUAAUCAUUUGGAUCACAUAGGCAAAACAAAAAGCUGACAGCAUAAAAUAAAUUUUGGUUUCAAUGUGUCGCACGAAGCUAUGUGCGACAUGCGCCUGUCGCACGAAACUUGAGGCAUAUUGUCCAACGACUCACAACAAGCAACCGCACUGAAACUCUCUCGCAAGUUUAGAAAAUAACUGAUAUCACUCAGUGAUGCCGAUUGGUGUUGGAUUCGGAUGGAUUAUGAUCGGAUUUCACUUUUACCGUUCGUCGUCGGCGUUUACCGUUGCCUUUUGCCGUCGCCGGUGAUGAUUCAAGAGUUCAAAGCUGCGUUUGGUUUGAUAAAAGGGGAGAAAGAAAGUUGGUUUUGGUUUGUAAACAAGGGUAAUUUGGAGAGAAAAGCGUGUCUUUGGCUAAUGUUGAUAGAAAAAGUUUAGAAGGUUAAUUGUGAAAAUAGCAAAAGUUUUAUGGUUAUUUUUGUAAAUUUCCCUUAUUAAAUGCACAUGUCAAUUUCUUUGCGUGCAUAAUGUGUAACCUAUGCUAGAGAGAACUUUUUUUUUUUAAGGGUGGGCCAGUUGAACGUAUGAAUUUAUUUUCUACUGAUUUUUUUAAUUAAAAUUUUUAUUAUAUAAAUAUUUUUUAAAAAUUAUUUAAUUAACUGUCUCUUAUCUUUCUCAUUUCAAUUUCAUAAAUUCUUAUCAAUUUAUUUAAAUGUAUUCUUUUACCUAUAAAUAAUUGAUAUCACUAACAAAAGGUGAAAAUAAAUAGAAAGAAUAAAAUAAAUAUCACUCAUCAUUUAAAAAUAAAUAUCAACAAAUUUUUAUCAACCAUAAAAGUUUGUCAAUAUAGAAAUUAAUUUUUACCAAGCACAAAAACCUAUGAAAAUCAAGAAAAAGAAUUCUCAUAUAUAGAAAAAAUGAAAUAGAAAUCGUGAUAUACUAAGAAAGAACAAAAAAUAAAUUUAAAAGAAAGUAAAAUUAAGUGUUUAGUUUGUAAAAUAUGAGAGUAGAGAGAGAGAAUAUGCAAUUGUAAGUAGGACUGCACAUUAUCUAGUUUGGUUUGAUUCAGCCUAGGAACCAAACUGAACUGAAACCAAUCAGUUCUUUAAAACUGGAACUAAAUAUGAACCGAACUGAACUGAAGUUUUCGGUUCGGUUCGAUUGAGUACGGUUUUGAAAUCUGGUUCAUUUCGGUUUGAUUCUAGUUUUGAUUAGCUUGGACCAGGAUCAUGAAGCCCUUUUGUUAGUGAUUGUUCCUCAUUGAUUUCAGAUCGAAGCUUGUAUUAAGCUCUAAUAAUUAGGCAUCAAAGUGAAUAAAACUAAAAGAAAUAAGCAAUCUUGAUUCAUUCAACCAUUUAUUAUUUUGUUUAUAAAGCACCCAACAAAUUAAACUACAUCUAUGAAUCCCAACUCACAAAAUUAAGGAAAAAGGUGUGAAAUAAAUUAUUGAGCAUGACAGUUGCUACAAGCAUACUUAAAAUCAAUUCAAUUGAAAACAAUAGCCUCUCCACGAACUUCAUGAAAUCUAUGUGGAUGUUUCAGAUAAUUUGUAAUUGUGAACCUCGCGUUUCCAUUUGCUUCCAAGUCUUUCCAUCAAAAUCAAUUUAAUUUAAGGAAUAAUCAAUGAACAUAUAAAAAAAGUCAACACAAGUUGCACAACUCCACCAGCGCGAUAGCUUCGGUAAGCUGCCAAUGGCACGAGUGUGACGAACAUGAGGCAAGGCUGACAUGAGCGCAACGAGAUGAACUACGACAGGCUGGCUGUGGUGACGGCGACAAGUUGACACCAGCACAACAGUAACAACGACAAGCUGAUACAAGCGCGACAGCAAUGACAACAGACUGGCUGAUAAGUGACGGUGGUGGAUGUGUGUGUGUGUUGGCGAAAGUGAGAGAGAUGGUGAGGGUUUUUGUGUGUGAAAAAGAUGAAGUGAGUGCAGAUGUGUUAGUGUGUGUGAGUUGUGAGAGAGGUGGUGUGUGUGCGUGAGAGAGAUUUUAGCGUUUAGAAUUAUUUUACUUAUUUAUAUUUUUUAUUUUAAUAUUUAUUUAGUUUUAAGUGAAAGAACCGAUUUGUUCGACGGUUCAGUUCGGUUUUGAGCUUAAUCGAAUGCAAACCAAUUUAGUUCGCAAAUUUUCAAAUUAUUUGGCUUUUGUCCUUAGAACCGAACUAAAUUGAAAUUUUUUAGUUCAGUUCGGUUCGACAAAAAUCGAACCGUCUACCCAUCCCUAAUUGUGAGGUGUAGAGAGAAAGAUAUUGGUGAAGGAAAUUUUAAAUUUUUAAUAAUGAAUUUAUUUUUUAAAAUGGGUGUAGAGAGAAAUUUAUUAUGACUUUAUUUUUUUAUAUAAAAGAGUGGGGCUAUUUUUUAAAAAUGAAUUUAUUAUAUAUUCUUAUUAGACCUUGAUAUAUAAAAAUUUUACUAUAAAAUAAACACGAGAAAAAGUUUGCAAUGAAUACAGAAUAUCAAUAUUAAAAAUAAGCUUUAAAAACCAAACCUUAAUACUAAAACAAGUUUGAAUAGGCCUCCAAAAUAUAAAAUAUCCGUCCAACUAAUUUUUAGGUAAUGUAGAUUCCAAAAUACCGGAGUCUAACAAAUGGAUAAGAAAUCAAUUACGGGAAAGUGAGGAUCUAAAUAAUAAUAAGAAAAAAAUGGCAUUUUCUAAUAAAUAAACAACAAAUUCACAAAACCACUCAACUAAAAUGGCCAGAGCUUCAAGUCCUCAGAAAGUAUUGUAAGAGUUUAGUUCCUUCUUUAGUUAUGAAAAAUAAUUAAGUGAAAACAGUCUUCUCUCUUUCAAAAUAUUCGAGGGUAAAAUCUAGUAAUUGUCUGAUUGUAAAUAUUAGACAAUUAGAAAGGCUAAAAUAUGGGCAGUGUUAUAUAAGAUUUAUGGUGCGUUUACUAAACCGAAAUUAGAAUGGGCUAGAAUAAGAAAAGGUUGGAAUCAGAAUGAACUAAAAUGGGAAUGAUAAAUGGGAAUUAAAAUAACUUGUUACUUAAGCUAUAGGAAUCGAAAUCGGAAUGAGCUCCAUUCCCAUUAAUGUGUUUAAUUUAUCCUAGAAUCAGAGUGGACUAUUUUAAAUUGCUAAAAUAUCCUUUGUUAAUUGUUAUCCCUAAUAUUAUUGGUAUCUAUUAUAAUAUUAACAAUAAUAAGAAUAAAAAUAAUAUUAAAACUGAAAAUAAUAAUAAUAUAGACAAUAAUGAUAGAUUAACAUAAUAAUUAAAAUAAUAAAAUAAAUAAAUUUUUAUAAUAAUGAUAAUAGUGACAACAAAAUGAAGGAUAAUAAUAAUACUAAUAAAAUUAAUAGAUUAUGAAAAUGAUGAUAAUGAUGAUGAUGAUGAUGAUUAUUAUUAUUAAUAUUAAUAUUAUUAAAUAAUAAGGGACCUAUGUGUAAAUAUUACAACAUUCACAGGUGUAAUUAUAUAAAAUUUGUAUAGAUCAAAAUGAACAGAUGGCAAACUUUUCCCUGUAAGUUACCAUCCGAUUCCACAUUAGUAAUAAGCAAAUAAAUUGAAAUUAAAAUAAUAAUAAAUUGGCGGUGACGAAUUCCUCUCCAUCAAAGGCUGGUUUCAUCUCGGUUCGUGGAUGUGCUCGUGUUGACCAUUUUAGUUUUCACCGCUCGUCUUCACUGCCGAUUUCAAGCUCCUCGUCACUAGGGAUGGCAAUGGAUUGGAUCUAACCCAAGAUCCACGUGAUCUAAAUUCAAUCGGAUUGGAUUUGAGUUGAUUUAAAAUAAAUUUGUAUCGAAUUUGAAUAUUGAUGUCUGGAUUUAAGACGGAUUUGAAGUAGGUCUGGAUCUUUCUUAAUAUCUAAAUCCAUAUCCAUAUCCACUCAUCUUUUAAUUUAAUUUAUUUUAAAAGUUUCUUAACAAUUGUGGAAUUAUAAUGAUAAUAAAUUUUAUUCAUAGCAUAUUAGUGAUAUUUACCAUGCAUUUAAACUCUUAAAACUUAAAGGUUAGUUUUGUAAAUUUAAAGGUCAGCCAGCUCUAAAGAAUGUACAUGCAAUAUUCAAAUUGCAAGCCGAGUAAUACAACUUGACAAUUUAUUUUAUUAUAUUGGUCAAAUAGUUUUUAAGGAAUAUAGUUAUUAAUAUAUUUCAUAAUAAAAAUAAUAAACGACUGAGUAUAAAUCAUAUUUAAUUUAUAUGUCAUUAUCUAAUAUUAUAGGAAUGAGGGUGGAUGUAUCGUGGAUAUUAGAAUGAUGAAGGAGACAAUAAAAUAUUAGAUUGAUUUUACUCCUGCAAUUACUUUUAAAAGAUAUUUUAUUAUCUUUCUUAUUUGUUGUUUUGGUGUAAAAGUAUAAGUUACAAUAUUUAUUAUAUUUUUUAGAAAAAUUAUAUAAUUUAUUUGUUAUCAAUACAUUUUAACCUUCAAUUUUUAAUCUAAAAAACUAUUACUUUUUAAUUGCUGAGUUUUAGAAUUCAUGACGGAUCUAUAGCAUAUUUGAAUUUUAAUUUUUUUUCACAUUUGGAGCAGAUAUAGAUAUUUAUUUCUUUUUUGGAUCUAGAUAUGGAACGAAANNNNNNNNNNNNNNNNNNNNNNNNNNNNNNNNNNNNNNNNNNNNNNNNNNNNNNNNNNNNNNNNNNNNNNNNNNNNNNNNNNNNNNNNNNNNNNNNNNNNGAAAUCAGUAACGACUUCUUUAUAGCCAACAAACUGGAUAUGACGAUGAUGAUGAUGAUGGUUGAUUUUGGCAGCAACAGUGACAAGACACGGUGAUGGCAUUCGGCUUGGUGGAGCUAUGAUGAGAGGAGUAUCGUGGCUUAGGGAUUUGGCCUUUUAUUUUUUAUUUUUUUUUAUUUUUUUUGGUAUUCAUAUUUUUUUCAUUUAAAAAGGGAUAACUUGGAAAUAUUGAAAUGUUAAUAGGGUAAGAACAUGAAAUCUUAGGAGGGGGAGAUUCAUUCCCAACCCCUUGGAAGCCAAUUUCUCAUUCCCUAUUUCCAAAUUCAGGUAGGCCCCAUGAUUUUGAUUAUGAUUCUUAUCUUCGUUUUACGAAAUAAACACUGUCAAUAAUUGCAAUUCCGAAUUCCGAAUCCCUAAUCGAAGAAUUAAACACACUAUUAAUGUAAAUGGAGCAGAGAUCUCUCGAAUAAACUAGUUUCAGUAAUUGCUCAGCAGCCUUCUCCCUUUUGAAAUUUGAGGGUAAAAUCUGAUAAUUGUCUUAUUGUAAAUAUGAUACUAUUAGAGAGAAUGUAAUCUAGACAGUACUGUAAGAUUUAAUAUAAAUGGAGUAGACAUGCCUCAAAUAAUCUAGAUCUAGUAAUUAUUUAAUGUAAAUAGAGUAGAUAUCCCUAAUAAUUGUUUUACGUAUAUGGUGUAGAUAUCUCUUCAAUAAACCAAUCACAAUAUUUGUGUAAUUAUAGAUAUCAAUAUUUAUCGUAAAUUAGUUCUAAUAAUUAUCUAUUUAUAAAUAUUAAUAAUAGUCGAUGUUAGUUUCAAUAAUUAUCUAUUUAUAAAUAUUAAUAAUAGUCGAUGUAAUCUUAACACUAGUCUCGUAAUAGAUUUGAUGUUGCUGAUGGUCAUAAUAAAUGUUCAGAAAAAAAAUGACAUAUUAUAGGAAAUAAAAGACAAACGCAUUGGCUUCUUGCUUUGCCAGUCAACCUGCAACUAUGAAUGAGAACCAUAGCUUUUGGCUGUUUGGUUCAAUGAACUUGUUUAUGUUCCUAAACACGUAAUAAAUCCAUUUGAAAGAGUAUAUUAAUUGACAAUACACAUACCAAACUAUACUCCUAUUUAAUGCUUUCCUCUGCACAGUGGAAUAUGUGAUUUUGAUGUAGUACUAAACCACGUGAAAAUGUGGAAAAUUAUGUAUGGUACAAAGACAAGUCAAUAGCAUAAAUAAUCGUUUAUUCUCUAAGUUUUUAUUUAAAUUUUUUUUAAUUCUUAUAUUUUAAAAAUUAUCUCAAGAAAUUCUUAUUUUAAAUAUGAUAUAUUUUUAUCCUUAUUUUUUUGACAACUUUUCUAAAAAUAUCCUUGCAAUAAUCUUUAUAAAAAGAAAAAAAAUGUUAAUUUAUUAUAUUAACCAUAUAAGUAAAUAAAAAUUAAUGUAGAAAUUUCUAUUAUUAUUUUACUUUUAAGGUUAAUUUGGUUUUCGUAAAUAGAAAUUAUUGUAAAAAUUAUUGCAUGAAGAUUAUUGUAAAAGUAAAGAAAAAGUAAUGGCAAGAGUGUAACAUAUUUAAUAGUAGGAAGUUUACCCAUUUCAAAUUACAUGUGCAUUUUAUUUUUAAAAAAUUAGUAGACAAACAGAUAAAAACAUUGUUGAUUAGCAGGAGCUUUUGUAGUAAUUAAAUAUGUCAUGUUAUUACUAAUGGGUUGUAUUAUUUCCAAUUUUUUGAAGCACGGCAAAAGAUUUUCAUUUUCAUGCAAUGAAUAACAAAGAGUCAAAUUUCUCUGCGUUCAUACGUGGCCAUAAAACACCACGAGAAAAACGUUAUUCAUAAGCAGUAUUCAUCAACUUCUCUACUUAUAAAUUGCCUUCAAAUUACACGACAGAAGCCCAAUAUAAUUCACUCUAACACUUGUUUCAGCAUGUCUUCUCUUGAUCACUCUAUUCCUGUGCCAGCAAUCAGUAGAGCAUUUGAAGUAGUGGAGAGCAGUAGUAAUAAUAAAACCGCAACUCAUAGUAUUAAUGUUAAUGAAGAUGAUGGAGAUGGUGUUUUCUUAACUUGGCAAGAUCUGUGGGUUACGGUUCCCGAUGGUCAGAAAAAAGGCAACAGAUCAAUCCUUCAAGGUCUUACUGGCUACGCAAGACCUGGGGAGCUUUUGGCUAUUAUGGGUCCUUCUGGUUGUGGAAAAUCUACUCUUCUUGAUGCUUUAGCUGGUAUUUAAAUUUUUUAUAACCACUAUUUUUUUUUUUUGCCAAGUAAUUGUGUUUGAUUUCUAAAGGAAUGAAAAAUAGCUAAGCUAUCAAAAAAAAAAAAAAUUAGUAUUUUUUUGCCAAGUAAUUGUGUUUUUCUAGUUUAUGCAUAAUUUUAACAUGAAAUGCAAAAAAUUAAAAAUUAAUUAUAAAAUAGAGUAACACUUAUCAAACAUCAAACAACUCAACUUCUUUCUUGCAUAUGUAUAUGAAUUUGAAACUCCAAGCUUCUUAUUUCUUUUGAAAAAAUUCUAUCACCUAAAUAGUAGUCACUCAUUAAUUAAAUACAAAUUACAUUCAUCUUAUUUACAUAUAUAUCUCUGUGUGUGUACAAAUAAUUUUUAACUCAUGUUUAAACACUUUAUUAUGUUUUAAUAUAGGAUUUAAAUCUAAUGUUGAGCUGAGUUAUGCUCAACUUUAUAUAAUUUACUAUUACAAAUACAUGUUUAAAGACAUAUAAGAUUAAGAUUUAAAUUAAUUUUAUACUAUUAUCUAACAAUUAUUAAUUAUAUUUUUUAAAAAAAUUAAUAAAAAGCUCAACUUAAUACUGAAUCUAAAUGCUUUAAUUGAAGGCUUGCAAUUUUGUCAAAAUUUACAUUAAAAUUGUGUAAAUUGAACAUACCCGAGAUAUAAACGAAUCAAACCUCCCGGGCCCCCGAGUUUUCAACCUUUUUUUUCGCUACUUAUGAUGGUGGGCCCCACUCUGUCGAUCUUUUUAUUUCUUACCCCACUUUAUCAAUUGUGGACCCUCCAUAUUGGCCUUUUUCUGAUUUAUUUUUAUUUGUUAUGGUUUGGUCAACGUUGAAGAAUUUAAGAAAAAUAAAAUAAAUUGCACAAUCGAAAGGUCGAUGCUGUGAUUACAAAGCAGCUUUCGUUAUGUCAUAACUAUUUUACAGUUUUCUCUGGGAAUUCUUGUUACAGUUUUAUUAAUUCGUUUUAUCACAACACCAAAUUUUCCGUUAAAUUAAUUAAGUUGUUCGUUAGAUUAACAACGGAUUUCAUAUAAAUUAAAUAUAACAAAUAAAUUUUAAUACUUGCAACAAAAAUUUGAUAGAUCCUGACACAAGUUAUUCUAGUUAGAUUUUUUAAAGUUACAUUUCUUAUAACUUAUAAUUAAGUUUCUUAGUAUAAAAAUGAGUAAUAAAAUAGUGAGGCCAAGUAAACCAGUGGGUGAAUUUUACUUAAAAUGUAACUUACUGAGAUUGAUUCUAGUGUGAGGACAACUUCAAAUAAAUUUAGUGAGGACAUCUUGAAAUAAAUUUAAUAGACAUAUAUCUUUUUACCCCCAGCUGGUGCCUGACAAAGGUUUUCUUUCUAGCAAUUUUAUUUAUGAUUGCAAAAUUAAUUUGUAUUUUACUCGUCCCUCUAUUUUUUCUAAAAAAUUUAUUUUAAAAAAAAUUAACAGACAUGCAUGUAUUUCGCAGGAAGACUAGGAUCGAACACAAGGCAAGCAGGAGAAAUUCUAAUUAAUGGGCGAAAACGGGCACUGGCUUAUGGAACCUCGGUACAAAUGUUACCAUUAGCAUAAUUAUUUAACUACUUUUUAAAUUUUUGUUUAGCAUUCAAUUUUCGGAUUCAUAUCCAGAUUUUUUUUAAAAAAAUAUAUAUUAAGAAUUGGUCAUAGUAGUAGUAUUCUGAUAAUGUGAAUGUCUGGAUUUUACAAAAUUCGAAUUUGAAUUAAAUCAGAGUUAUAGGUUAUUGUAUAAUUUUGAUUCUAAUUUAAAUCUGAAUUUUAUAAAACUCGGACGACCGUACGACUUAGUAAUACAAUUUCCUCUAUUUAAUUCAAUAUUCUAAUUUAUUCUGAAUUCGCAAAUUAAUGAUGAACUCAGGCAUAUGUGACACAAGAUGACGCUUUGAUCACUACACUGACGGUUAGUGAAGCAGUGUACUACUCAGCUCAGCUGCAAUUGCCGGACACGAUGACCAAAUUACAGAAGAAAGAAAGAGCAGAAAUGACAAUAAAAGAAAUGGGGCUACAAGAUGCCAUGAAUACAAGAAUUGGAGGCUGGGGAGCUAAAGGCCUUAGUGGUGGUCAAAAGAGGAGAGUUAGCAUUUGCAUUGAAAUGUUGACUCGACCAAAGCUUCUAUUUCUUGACGAGCCAACAAGCGGACUUGAUAGUGCUGCUUCAUACUAUGUAAUGAGCAGGAUUGCUAAGCUUGAUCAAAGAGAUCAUGGAGUGGGAUCAAGAACAAUGAUAGCAUCAAUCCAUCAACCUAGCAGCGAAGUUUUUCAGCUUUUUCACAACCUUUGCCUUCUUUCUUCCGGUCAAACUGUCUAUUUUGGUCCAGCUUCUGCGGCAAAUGAGGCAAGUUCAUUUCCCCACAAUGUUCAGAACCCAUCAAAACCUCGGUGCUGCCAAAAAGAAAAAAAAAAAUAAAUAACUUUCACCUUUUUAAACUUAAACUACUAUACCUAUAGAAAUUUGGAUUGAUCCACAGGGAGUUAACUAUUUUAAGGCUAAAAUAGUAAAAUGAAAAGUGUAAUUUUUUUAACUAACAUAAGGUUUUGAUAGUUUUUGAAACAUGAUUAGAGAACUGAUUGGCUUAAUUACUAACAUCAUUUUCCCAAAUAAAACUUUAACUAACGUGCUUGUUUGCUUUCAAUUACAUGCAGUUUUUUGCUUUGAAUGGCUUCCCUUGCCCAGCCCUCCAGAAUCCAUCUGAUCACUUUCUUAAAACUAUAAACAAAGAUUUCCAGAAGGUAAGCUUUUUUUCUUUAUUGUAUACUUGCUUGCAUGCUUGCUUGCGCGCUUUUAGGUGAAGUGACUUAUCCAAUUCAACACAAACC
RNAcentral lists this long non-coding RNA (40817 nucleotides) under Citrus x clementina. RNAcentral's name for it is "Citrus clementina (C. clementina) long non-coding RNA (CCLE_LNC000946)". The record is from RNAcentral. Lineage: Eukaryota; Viridiplantae; Streptophyta; Magnoliopsida; Sapindales; Rutaceae.